RNAcentral lists this ribosomal RNA (449 nucleotides) under uncultured bacterium. RNAcentral describes it as "partial 16S ribosomal RNA". It matches the Rfam family "Bacterial small subunit ribosomal RNA", at positions 29 to 523 of the family's 1533-position model. The record is from RNAcentral.
AACGAACGCUGGCGGCAGGCUUAACACAUGCAAGUCGAACGAUGUAGCAAUACAUAGUGGCGCACGGGUGAGUAACGCGUGGGAAUGUACCUUAUAGUGGGGAACAACGUUGGGAAACUAACGCUAAUACCGCAUACGCCCUUCGGGGGAAAGAUUUAUCGCUAUAAGAUCAGCCCGCGUGAGAUUAGGUAGUUGGUGGGGUAAUGGCCUACCAAGCCUACGAUCUCUAGCUGGUCUGAGAGGAUGAUCAGCCACACUGGAACUGAGACACGGUCCAGACUCCUACGGGAGGCAGCAGUGGGGAAUAUUGGGCAAUGGAGGCAACUCUGACCCAGCCAUGCCGCGUGAAUGAUGAAGGCCUUAGGGUUGUAAAGUUCUUUCGCCGAUGAAGAUAAUGACGGUAGUCGGAGAAGAAGCCCCGGCUAACUUCGUGCCAGCCGCCGCCGUAA